Long non-coding RNA from Aegilops tauschii subsp. strangulata, 2410 nucleotides. RefSeq lists it as uncharacterized. NCBI's taxonomy places the organism in Eukaryota, Viridiplantae, Streptophyta, Magnoliopsida, Poales, Poaceae. The record is from RefSeq and is a predicted model, not a curated record.
AACCCUAGCCGCUGCCAUGUUCUGGCCGGCAUAAGCUCGCUUGUAAUCUCCUAAAUUCUAGCAAGCAUUCCUCUUGGAGUAGUAAAUCCAUGUGACAUGUUGAGCUUCCCUUGUUUCUAAGCGCCCAUCUCUGAAAUCUCUCUCUAUUCCGUGAAUUCCCUAGCAAGGGCCUGUCACCGGCGUGGACGGCUGAAGACGGGAUGGGGACGGCCACCAACCGCAUUUAGCAGCAAGCCCGCUGACCACCUCGCAUCUCAUCCUCCACCCGCAUCCCCGCCGGAGAAAAUCGAGCCAGCCGUGGAGCAAGGCGGCCAAGCUGUGGGAGCUCAAGGUCCGCAGCCGGCACACGCAUGGCAGGGGCAGCACAAUGGAGUGCCGGAGGCGACCCAGUUCGCAUCUUCCGGGAGUGCUGCCACAGGAUUCAUGGUCGUCGCGCCGCUAGUUGCAAUGCGCCGCUUCAUCCAUAAAUCUGGUGUUAUCUGUUGCUAGUCUUGUAAUCGGGGUGUCCAUUCUUAUGCUGGUUGUGGCAGAUGUUGUCAUGCGUGUGCUGGAUUAGGUGUCAGCAGCGAUCUGGUUAUUAUGUAGGCACUCAAGUGAGCUCGCGUUCCGGCAGAUAGGGCUAAAAAUAGAGCUCCUCCAUCCUUGGUGCCUCCACAGGCUGUCAUCGCUAAUGGAUGAUGAGGGCGAGCAUCAAGAGUUGUCAUGCCGGGGGCAGUCCGAAAAUCAAGAGAGCCCCUGUGCUGGGCAGCCGGUGGGUGGUUUGUCAGAGAUUGAGCCGGCAAUCAUGUCUCGGUUGUCAGUGAAGCGUGUGCUCAAGGCUGUGCAAAAGUUUGACGAGUAUAAGAGAUGGCUUGUAUCAGAGAUUGGGUUGGGUGGAAUACUGAAGCUUCCGAUGCUCGUCAAAUUGGACCUGGUUAUGAGGAAGGUGAAGGUCAGGCCUCGCGUAAUAGCUAUUGAUGACAACAGGAAUAUUUUCUUUACUGCAGAGGAUUUCCAUAAGAUCUUCGGGGUCCCGUGCGCCAACCGAGAUGUUCAUGGCAGGGAUGCGAACAUUGCUCCUUCGUCGAUCCAAUUCAUAAAGCAGGCAAUUGGGAUGGACAAACUCAGGAUCGAAGAACCUAAAGGAGGCUGAGAGAUUCAUCAGCAGAGACAUUUCUGAGGAAUCUAGUAAGAUUGAGAAGGAUUGUUUUCAGUUUGCGCUUGUGAUUUUCAUCAUGGGUUACAUGCUAGAGCUGUGAACAAAGCAUGACUUCAUGACAAUUGAUUUCUGGGGUGUAGUGGCUAAUCCGGAAGUCAUAACUCGAUUCAAUUGGUAUGAGUAUGCUAUUCAGAAUUUGAUGGUAGCGGUCAUGAAGGUGAAGAGUGAUUUUCAGAACAAUGUACCAACGAUUCAUCUAUCUGGAUGCCACCUUUUCUUCCAGAUUUUCUUGUUGGACAACAUUGAUCUUGGGAUUUUCAAUACGAUCUACCUUGUGUGCAGUGCUUCGAACAGAAAACACUUCGGCAAAUGAUCACAAUGGCGGAUAGUAUGUAGUAGGGCAUGCCGAGUUAUUUGCCAGCAGCCGUAAAGCGGUCAUGUGCUAAGUGGCAGCAUACACUUGUUGAGGCCACACCAAAACUCUAGAUUGUUGUGUGUUCUAUAAGCACCGACUUGGAUUGUCCGUAUUUUGUAUGUAGGUACGACCGCCAGAUUCAGCGUGCUAUUACCGGGUAGCCGUGACGAGACAGUCAUACACUGAUGGUGAUGUAAUGGCAUCUUCAUCCGAGCCAGUAUCUUCAAGGGCGCCUGCGACAGCAUGCGAGCAUACACCGGAUUUGCAUGUCAAUAUGAGGGUGCCACCGUCAGGCUCGCUGGGGGACCCCAUGUCGGCACAUCGUUCGAUGGUGCCCAGUGAGUUCGGCAAUCAUCUUCGCCAGGCUUGCGUGGGAGAUCCUGUACGAGACGUUUAUGAUUCGUCAGUGGGGGGGGGGGGGGAGUGCACGCUCAGCAUGCCGCUGCUCCGCAACAGGAUGUAGUCUGAUAUGCUUUGUUUUGCUGACAAAAUUAUAUCUCUGGUGUGGGGGGCGAGCAAAGUCUUUGUGUAACUUUGGCUUGUGACCUUAUUGAGCUUGAUGCUGAAGCAGUACAAUGCAAAGUGCACGCUCAGCAUGCCGCUGCUCCGCAACAGGAUGCAGUCUGAUAUGUUUGUUUUGCUGACAAAAUUGUAUCUCUGGUCAGAGAUCGCUGUAGAUGUUGUGUCAACCGUGGCUUGACAAAGUGCAUUACAAUAGCUGAUUGUGACAACCGAUAUGCAGGUAUAUUCGCUGGAGAAAUUAUCGAUCUAUAUCAUAAAUAAAAUGAUUUUUGCUACUUCUUGAGCUUGCGUUGGUUUUUCCCUUGAAGAGGAAAGGUUGAUGCAGCAAAGUUGAG